UAUUCAGAGAGAUAACAGUCAC
This 22-nucleotide non-coding RNA is filed under the name Mus musculus (house mouse). The record is from RNAcentral. Lineage: Eukaryota; Metazoa; Chordata; Mammalia; Rodentia; Muridae.